GUUAGGUGUUGCAGCUACAGUUUCUAGCAGAACGAAAAUUUCCAUUCUUUUGUAUACACAUACAUAUGUACAUGUGUAUGCACAUUUCUUGAGUGAUGCAAGAAAAAUAAAUACUCAGCCGAUCAGACAUGAGAAGCACAUAAACAAUUCCUGAAUACUGAAUCACUUCUGCAGAUUAUUUACUUUCUUAUUCAGUUUGUUCUGCAAGAAGGACGGGAGCACUUUCAAGAGACUGAAAAUACUUGGACUUCAAGGUGUAUUUAAAAGCAUC
Molecule: long non-coding RNA, 271 nt
Filed under: Drosophila guanche
Lineage: Eukaryota; Metazoa; Arthropoda; Insecta; Diptera; Drosophilidae
Source: RNAcentral